RNAcentral lists this unclassified non-coding RNA (1057 nucleotides) under Hevea brasiliensis (rubber tree). Lineage: Eukaryota; Viridiplantae; Streptophyta; Magnoliopsida; Malpighiales; Euphorbiaceae. The record is from RNAcentral.
GUCGAAUGCAGCUAUUUUAGUUUCCAUUCCAAAUGUAUAUAUUAAAGUUUCACAAACUAACCAAAGUUGUGAUCACUAAAAGGGAAAGAGCAAAAAACUAAAUACAUUGAAAGGGGGAGAAGAAGUGAAAAAUAAAAUGAUAGCAUUAUACAACAUUCUACUGUUUCUGUGUUCAUAGAAAGGACAGAUGACUGGCAUCACCGGCGACAGGGAUGGGAAUAGCCUUCGGGUUUUACCUGUCAUCAAACAACAUUCUACUCUUUCGUAUGCUUACCAGUGUACACCUAUUUUUCUUCAAACUCGACAUCAAUAAUAUCUGGUUGGGAUUUUGAAGUGGUACCUCCUCGACUGCCUCUAGAAAAGAAGUCACCUCCUUUCGGCUGCCACACAACAUUUCCACAGUUGGCACAGCGAACUGUUGAAUUCUUGUUUCCGAUAAAUUGUCUCCUACAAGAUGGGCACUGACCCUUGAUGACUAGAUUGUUGGCAACAACCCCAAUAAGAAGAGGUCCAGCAAAUGGUAGAACCCAUGUUGCAAUUAUCAGAAUUCGAAACAGCCAACCCGAUAAAGCAAACCACAGAAAGAAUAUUGUAACAGCACUUCUUCCCAGCGGGGUAUCCAUAAAAUCAUUCAACUGCUUCCUAUACCUAGGCAAAUUUGAUCUAAAAUCAAGAGAAAAAGUACGCCACUUUCGAGUAAUCUCAAAAUCACGAUCAAUUUCUCUAGCACGAUCAGCAGCAGACUGUGCAACAUCCGAUACUUUCCUUGACACAUCAUAUCUCCUAUCAAUACGUUCCGCAGUCUUCUUAGAUUCAUAUAAAAACUGCUCAAAACCAUCAUUAGCAUUCCUCCACACAUCUUUCCAUGCUUCACCGGAUCUUACUCGUUUAGCGAAUCCAUCAAAAUCACUCCGCCUGAAAGCAUGUACAUAACUAACUUGCCGAAUAGGUAGGUUUACCUUUACUGUUCGGUUAGCAAAACUUAGGGUUUUAGUAGGGUUUAAGGGAUGCCAUGGUAGGCUUAUCGCCAUAAUCGCCUGAAAAUUUGAAGCUUUUU